UACGAAGGGGGCUAGCGUUGUUCGGAAUCACUGGGCGUAAAGGGCGCGUAGGCGGCUUUAUAAGUCGGGGGUGAAAGCCUGUGGCUCAACCACAGAAUUGCCUUCGAUACUGUAGAGCUUGAGACCGGAAGAGGUAAGUGGAACUGCGAGUGUAGAGGUGAAAUUCGUAGAUAUUCGCAAGAACACCAGUGGCGAAGGCGGCUUACUGGUCCGUUACCGACGCUCAGGCGCGACAGCGUGGGGAGCAAACAGG
This 253-nucleotide ribosomal RNA is filed under the name uncultured bacterium. RNAcentral describes it as "partial 16S ribosomal RNA". It matches the Rfam family "Bacterial small subunit ribosomal RNA", at positions 524 to 776 of the family's 1533-position model. The record is from RNAcentral.